This 658-nucleotide ribosomal RNA is filed under the name uncultured bacterium. RNAcentral describes it as "bacterial SSU rRNA". It matches the Rfam family "Bacterial small subunit ribosomal RNA", at positions 135 to 809 of the family's 1533-position model. The record is from RNAcentral.
AGAGGGGGACAACAGUUGGAAACGACUGCUAAUACCGCAUAAGCCCACGGGUCGGCAUCGACCAGAGGGAAAAGGAGCAAUCCGCUUUGAGAUGGCCUCGCGUCCGAUUAGCUAGUUGGUGAGGUAACGGCCCACCAAGGCAACGAUCGGUAGCCGGACUGAGAGGUUGAACGGCCACAUUGGGACUGAGACACGGCCCAGACUCCUACGGGAGGCAGCAGUGCGGAAUAUUGCACAAUGGGGGAAACCCUGAUGCAGCGACGCCGCGUGGAGGAAGAAGGUCUUCGGAUUGUAAACUCCUGUUGUUGAGGAAGAUAAUGACGGUACUCAACAAGGAAGUGACGGCUAACUACGUGCCAGCAGCCGCGGUAAAACGUAGGUCACAAGCGUUGUCCGGAAUUACUGGGUGUAAAGGGAGCGCAGGCGGGAAGACAAGUUGGAAGUGAAAUCCAUGGGCUCAACCCAUGAACUGCUUUCAAAACUGUUUUUCUUGAGUAGUGCAGAGGUAGGCGGAAUUCCCGGUGUAGCGGUGGAAUGCGUAGAUAUCGGGAGGAACACCAGUGGCGAAGGCGGCCUACUGGGCACCAACUGACGCUGAGGCUCGAAAGUGUGGGUAGCAAACAGGAUUAGAUACCCUGGUAGUCCACACCGUAAACGA